GAAGCUAUAGAUUAUUUAUUUACAAUUUUCAUUUUUUUUAACUUUUUGUUUUUUUUUUCUACAUUUAUAGUUUUGUCUCACAUUUUGUUACUUUUUUUUUUGGGGUUUAGCCCAAUUUAUUAAUAUGUUGGUUUUUUUUUGGUCUAUUUUAUAAGUUUUUUUUUUCUUGAUCUCUUGAGUGUACUUGAAUUUAUUUCAUCUUUCACUUUAAAAAUAAUUUCUUGAUAGAUUAGCAGGGAGUUCUUCUUCAUAAUUAAAGAGAAAAUUUAGAAGAAAAACAACUUCAUAACCUUUCAAUAGUAAUACAUAAAUGAAUUGAGUAUAAACAUUUGAGUGAUGAGAUCCAUAUAUUUCUUUGAAUUGUGAUAAUCAUUUGUGUUAAUUUCUUAUUUUUCUAACCUUUUGCAAGCAUGAUUUCAUUUAAAAAUGAAUGUCAUAGAAUGCUCAUUUUAAGAAUA
This 458-nucleotide long non-coding RNA is filed under the name Vigna radiata. Its description in RNAcentral is "long non-coding RNA (VRAD_LNC018004)". The record is from RNAcentral. Lineage: Eukaryota; Viridiplantae; Streptophyta; Magnoliopsida; Fabales; Fabaceae.